GUGCUCACUUCAGCAGCACCGAUACUGAAAUUGGAGUAAUGGAGAAGAUUAGCAUAGCCCUAUACAAGGAUGACACAAUUUGUAAAGCUUUCCAUGUUUUC
RNAcentral lists this small nuclear RNA (101 nucleotides) under Jaculus jaculus (lesser Egyptian jerboa). Lineage: Eukaryota; Metazoa; Chordata; Mammalia; Rodentia; Dipodidae. The record is from RNAcentral.